This is a long non-coding RNA of Balaenoptera ricei (Rice's whale), 1981 nucleotides long. RefSeq lists it as uncharacterized. The record is from RefSeq and is a predicted model, not a curated record. The transcript is spliced from 3 exons. Lineage: Eukaryota; Metazoa; Chordata; Mammalia; Artiodactyla; Balaenopteridae.
UCGGCUCGCCGCGGCCCUCCUCUUCCUCCGCGGCCUGGCUCGCCUCCUCGCGACCCGUCCGCUCUUUCCGGUCGCCGCUGGGGGCCCGCACGCGCGCGUCCGGCCGCCGCCCUUCCACUUUAGGGGUAGUCCGGCUCGGGGAGCCGCCCGAGACUGGUCCCGGGGGCCCCGGGGCGCGCGGGGCGGGCGGCGCCUUCGGGAGGAGGCCGGUGGGGCGCGCGAGGAGCCAUCGCGGACUUAAUAAGGGCGGCUGCGCUGCUGCGCGUGCGCCCGGCGGCGCGGGGCGGGGAGGCGUCCCGGAGGAGCGCGCGGGCCGCCGCCCCCGCCCUUGCGGGCUCCGGCCGGGAAGCCCCUGGUUGGGCGGCGGGCGGACGCUGGCCCAGGCGCCCGCUCCGCGCGCGGGGACGCGAGCUGCCCCGGAGGCCCGCUCUUCGGAGCAGGACCCGGGGCCUGCGCGGCGGCCUGAGGGGGGCAGGGCGCGCCCCUGGGCCGUCGGCGUGUUAGAAGCCACUGCAGUAAACGGACGGCAGCAGGGAGCCCCCUUGGCGCACACGAGCAGGUCUCUGUCCUUGCAGCCCAGCCCAGGAGGGACAUACGACUCCAUCGGCACGGCUCCAAGCUUGUCUCAGUGUUGACUGCUUGCCAGGUGUAGAACCCUUGGUUUGUAGUGGGACCCAUCUCUGUCCAGAAGAAGACUGUAUUUCCUCACUUCCCUGUAGCUUGAUGUGGUCAUGUGCCCAACGUCUGUCGAAUAGGAAAUACGCAGAAGCCGUGCAAGGAACUUCCAGGAAAUCCUUAAAGAGAAGGGGCUAUUCUCCCUCUCUCCUUCCUCUGGCACAACAUGAAUGUGAUGGCCGGAGCUUGAAUAGCCAUCUUGAACUAUGAAGUGGAAGCCACGUGCUAAGGAUGACAGAGCAGAAAGUAGCAGCCUGGUUUCCUGGCACCGUGGACAGGCAUAUCAGCCCAGGAGAGACUACCGCCAGAUUUUUACAUGUGAGAGAAAGUAAUCUGCUAUUUUGGUAAGCCACUGUAAUUUUGGAUUCCUUGUUGCUCAUAGCUAAGUCUAACUCAACUCUCGAAUAUGGAAAGGAAUUAUCUUCUUUUGAGAAUAUAUCAUAAUGUGCUCUAAGUUGUUUAAUUUAGGCUGAUGGUGGCAUCUCCAUUUGAUGAAGGAAUUCAAAUCUGAAUGAUGUCCCCAUAGUAAAAAAAAAUUAAUAACAAUACAGCUCACUUUGAUUUCUCUCUCUGAGGGUGUCAGUACCUUCACCGUGAUGUUCACUUCCUUUGAAAGAAUAUCAUGUUCUGACAAGUGGAAAUUGGUUAUCUAAAGCAAAUACCUUGCUACUUUAAAUCUGCUAAAAAACAAACUGUAUUCAUUUUCAAUUCCUGUGUCUAAAGCAAUUGUGGAAAAUUUAUGUUCCAGUGAAUUCAAAAGAUUAAUGUUGAAUUAAUAGUAAGUGAAUUUUGUACUGAGGAUGGUUGCUUCUAGAGUGCUGCUAAUUUAUUUCUUGACCUAGAUGGUGGUUGCUUACAUAUUUGCUUUAUAUUUAUCCAUUAAACUGUACAUAUGUUUAUGUACUUUUCUGUGUUAUAUAUUUCAUAAUAAUAAAGGAUUAAAGACGUGAAUUUUGUGAUUUCUUUUAAAAAUACACCUUUCACUUGUUUUGAAGCAAAUGUUUUGUUUUGUUUAAUAUUUAUUUAUUUAUUUUGGCCGCACCGGGUCUUAGUUGUGGCACACGGGAUCUUUUUAGUUGUGGCAUGAGAACUCUUGGUUGCAGCCUGCAUGUGGGAUCUAGUUCCCUGACCAGGGAUUGAAUCUGGGCCCCCGGCAUUGGGAGCGCGAAGUCUUAGCCACUGGGCCACCAGGGAAGUCCCACAAAUACUUUGUUUUUGACGAAAAAAUGUAAAAUAUAAAAUUCGUAUUAUUGUCGGCAAAUUUCCCAAUAAAAAUGUAUUGCUUUGAUUAACAAUUUUUAUCAAA